RNAcentral lists this transfer RNA (77 nucleotides) under Desulfobulbus oralis. RNAcentral describes it as "tRNA-Arg(acg)". It matches the Rfam family "tRNA". Rfam says of the family: Transfer RNA (tRNA) molecules are approximately 80 nucleotides in length. The record is from RNAcentral. Lineage: Bacteria; Pseudomonadati; Thermodesulfobacteriota; Desulfobulbia; Desulfobulbales; Desulfobulbaceae.
GCACCAGUGGCUCAGCUGGAUAGAGCGUCGGACUACGAAUCCGAAGGUCGGGGGUUCAAAUCCCUCCUGGUGCGCCA